AAUAACUGGCGUAUUGCAGCUCGUGGGCAAAUGCAUAUUUUUAUCUCACAGAUACUACAGCGUCAGUCACAUCAACACACCCUCACCGAUUUCAACGCACACACACACACCCACACAGCCACCAUUGCGAACAGCUGAGAGCGCCGCCGUCGGCAUUCACAAUAACCUAACGGCAAAUGUCAAAACUAACGCUAGCGCUAGUUGUCUCGCUCGCACGCGCCUGAGUGAUUGCUGAGCGACAGCAGCGACGCCAACGACAGAGUCACAGGCUGCCCAUUUGCAUUCGCACGAGAGUUCGAUUAACUGCAGCGUUCGCAGAGUCAGUGAGUGAGUGAAUGAACGAGGCAUGAAAAAGUCAUAUAGAAAAUGGUCGAGUGCGUUGCAGAGCAAAUUAGCUGUGUUUAGUUAUAAUCAAGUUGGUUUUACUGCAUCAAAUAGAUCAGAAUUAACAGUAAAUAAAGUGCAAAUGUGAUUUAAGUGAAAGAAAGGAUAUCUAAUGAAAAGUUAAAAGCAAAAAACGAAUUUGAAAACAAAACAAUUCACGCUUUGGAAUAAACACAUAAAUUAAUAUUGCUGCAAAGCAUUGAGCUUAAAUUUCUACUUUGUAUAUAGUUUAACACGCCGAUUUGGACUUCAAUUUCGACAAAUCGUUGAAGAAAUGCGUUUUUGGAGUGACUCCUGCUUGGUAAGUGAUUGCUGAACAAUAGAAAUAUUUUAAAUUAUUUCCGAGGAAUAAAAUAUGACCAUUGUCAACAAUAGUAUUACGACACGAUGAGACUGAAACCCAGGUACUUGAGUCCACACAAAAAUUGCUAAAAGGGAAACCGAAAAA
Long non-coding RNA from Zeugodacus cucurbitae (melon fly), 832 nucleotides. RefSeq lists it as uncharacterized. The record is from RefSeq and is a predicted model, not a curated record. NCBI's taxonomy places the organism in Eukaryota, Metazoa, Arthropoda, Insecta, Diptera, Tephritidae. The transcript has 3 exons.